UCCAGAGGGUGCAAUCGUUGUUCGGAAUUACUGGGCGUAAAGCGCGUGUAGGCGGUGUAGUAUGUCGGAUGUGAAAUCCCUCGGCUUAACCAAGGAAGUGCAUUCGAAACUGCUGCACUAGAGUGCAAGAGAGGAAGGUGGAAUUCCCAGUGUAGAGGUGAAAUUCGUAGAUAUUGGGAGGAACACCGGUGGCGAAGGCGGCCUUCUGGCUUGUUACUGACGCUGAGACGCGAAAGCGUGGGGAGCAAACAGG
Molecule: ribosomal RNA, 253 nt
Filed under: uncultured bacterium
Lineage: Bacteria
Description: partial 16S ribosomal RNA
Rfam family: Bacterial small subunit ribosomal RNA
Source: RNAcentral